AAUAGGCCUUGUGUUCUGGGGAAAGUAUUGUCUGCUCAUUCAAGCGUGAGCAGGAGUUUAGCUUAGAGCAAAAGCUUCUAAAAUCAAGAAGAGGAAAAAGCUUUUUUCAGAGUCAUCUCAGGAUCCUAUGGAGUUGUGACUAGAUAAGACACUUGGCUGCUCUGAGACUCGAAUGUCUUAAGUAUUGGCAGAUAAGGAAGAGCUCUGACUGCCUGUCCCUAGUCAUGGAAGAGAGUGAUAAGCAGACAUAGAAGUAAGGACCUGCAAGAGGAGCACACCUUCAUACUCCUAUAAGUGAAUUUAUCGAAUAAAAGCAAGAGAUUCAGCAUCACUAAGAGCAGAAAUGUGUGAAAGACUAUGAAAAGGAAUAAAGUGGGAGCUUGCAUCUUUAGUGUCCAAAGUACAAGCCCUAUUGCCUGGAAUUCCUUGUUAUACAAACCUUUAUUCAAUGAGCAUCUGCUAACAGGAUUGGACAACACAAAGUCGAUCCCCAGGAGUCACGUGACAGAAAGAACCAACUCUUGCAAGUUGACCUCUGACUUCCAUAUAGUGGCCGUGCCAUGUGCACUACCAGAGCCACAGUGUCCACUUCUUUGCAUGUGAGCCAGCAACCCACGUGACUUACAUCUCUACAGGGAAAAACGCCUAUACCACUUAAUUCUCAAGAUUGUUGAGAACUACCUCCCCUAUAUUCGUCAAUAUGGGAGACUAUAAGAAGAAUGGCUGUUUUAUUAUAUAUUUGAAUAUUUCCAUAUGAAAUUGUGAAUACCACUUAAUGACAGGUUGUCUCUUCACUGGAAUGAUGAUGCUCUUUGUUACAUAGAGCUUUUUAGUUUCAUGAGGUCCCAUUUAUUUUUGUGUGAGGGUACAGUAUUUCAAUGAAGAUGAUAUGAUUACUUCUAUUUGGAAGCUGAAUCAAUGACAACACAAGUACCUGUAAUAGAAUAUCAUUCCCUUCACCUACUGACGAAAACCUUUGGGGGGUUUUGAUUUGAGCUCAGACCUUACAGCAUUCUAUUAUUUAUGUGAAAGAAAUUUACAAUCCUUGUUCUGACAAACUAGUCCACCCAGAGAACAAGACAGGAUCUGUCACGUUUACCAAUGCCUGUGGUGUAAAUCACACCAGCUGAUGUCAAGCAUAAGCAUCUGCUUCUAGAACUUUCUCCCACUUUCCAUCAGGUCUCACUGGCCUUAUUUUUUAAAUAAAUCUACAUGUCUUUC
Molecule: long non-coding RNA, 1221 nt
Filed under: Mus caroli (Ryukyu mouse)
Lineage: Eukaryota; Metazoa; Chordata; Mammalia; Rodentia; Muridae
Description: lncRNA (MGP_CAROLIEiJ_G0006570.1)
Source: RNAcentral